RNAcentral lists this ribosomal RNA (1245 nucleotides) under Veigaia sp. 2 APGD-2010. RNAcentral describes it as "eukaryotic LSU rRNA". It matches the Rfam family "Eukaryotic large subunit ribosomal RNA", at positions 127 to 1244 of the family's 3401-position model. Lineage: Eukaryota; Metazoa; Arthropoda; Arachnida; Mesostigmata; Veigaiidae. The record is from RNAcentral.
CCAGAAGCAUUAAGAGAUGAGGUGUAAAGGUAAUUCCUUGUCAACAACCGUGCGACCUAACUAUUAAUGAGUGAGCGCUCUAAGAAGGUGAAAAGCCUGUUUGGUUGCAUCGGUUUGUCGACGCGGGUUGCCUAAGAGUCUAGUUGUUUGAGAGUACAACUUAAAGUUGGUGGUAAAUUUCAUCAAAGGCUAAAUAUGCUAAGGGACUAAUAGUGAACAAGUACCAUGAGGGAAAGUUGAAAAGAACUCUGACGAGAGAGUUCAACAGUACGUGAAACCAUAAUGAGUAAAACGGAUAAUCGCGCUGUAUCGUAGUGUAACUUUCAGCAGUGUUUCUGGUGUAAUGAGUAUUCGAGAGUGAGUUGCUUGGCAGCGAAGAUCUCGUGUUGAAGUGUGCCGGAAGCUUUGUGAUUUAGUUAUACACGUUCAUUGGGGGAUCAUACUGUCAUCACAUCGGCCGUGAAAUGUUCGCAUUUUGUGCGUAGACUGCGUUCAGGCUCUUAUGAACUGGUAUGAUUUAUCAAAAGCAAGUGGCGUUUACCGCAAACAACAAUUUUAUCUGCGAAGUGGUUAAUUCCUCUCUGUGGUGAACUCGUUGUCAAUGGUGAGCUACAAGCUUUCAAUGAUCAAGCGUUGAUUAUUCGACCCGUCUUGAAACACGGACCAAGGAGUUCAAAUGGCACGCGAGUCAACGGGUUUUGUUACCCGAAGGCGAAGUGAAAUGCAAACAUAUUGUUAUUUGUGGUAGUUCCAUGAGUAAAUGAUAAGCUACUCAUGCUUUCAGGCAUUUGUAGACUACAAGCGUGAUGUUUGAGACCCGAAAGAUGGUGAUCUAUGCCUAGUCAAGAUGAAGCCAGAGGAAACUCUGGUGGAUGUCUGAAGUUAUUCUGACGUGCAAAUCGAUAAUCUGAUCUGGGUAUAGGGGCGAAAGACUAAUCGAACCAUCUAGUAGCUGGUUCCUUCCGAAGUUUCCCUCAGGAUAGCAAGUGUACAUUGGUAGUUUCAUCCAGUAAAGCGAAUGAUUAGAGGUAUUGGGACAUAUGUAGUCUCAACCUAUUCUCAAACUUUCAAUGGGUGUGAGUUCUCUUUCUUAAUUGAAGAGUGACUGCUAAAUAAGUAUGCUUAGUGGGCCAUUUUUGGUAAGCAGAACUGGCGCUGUGGGAUGAACCAAACGUGGGGUUAAAGUGCCUAAAGCUCGAAUGCGCAUAAGAUCUACAAAGGGUGUUAGUUGCUGAAGACAGCAGG